Clupea harengus (Atlantic herring) is the source of this 769-nucleotide long non-coding RNA. RefSeq lists it as uncharacterized. The transcript is spliced from 3 exons. NCBI's taxonomy places the organism in Eukaryota, Metazoa, Chordata, Actinopteri, Clupeiformes, Clupeidae. The record is from RefSeq and is a predicted model, not a curated record.
UAAUAUAUUUAAGGUCAUAUUAGGGAACAUUUCAGCAGUGUUAAAUGAUUACUAGCUGUGAAGACUCACAAAUACCAAUUGUGAAAUGGUAAAAGGGCAGGAAUGUAUUUCUAUAGUGUCUCCAGGCUUGUUUGCUCCUUCAUGUAAAAUCAUGUCAUUUAAUAAACAGUAUAAAUGUAUUAUUAUAUACAGUAUGUUCCAGGCUAUUAACCGCAUCGUAUAUAAACCGCAUUACAGUGUUUUAUGCAAUUUUAUCAAAACAAACCAUACAUUGACCGCACCUGUGUAUUAACCACAGUUUAUUGAACGUUAUGCCAUGCCAUGUAGUUGUGGUGCGAGUGUUACUAGCCAUUUAGAAGUUGUAUAAAGUAGGGAUGGGCAUUUCAAGCAAAACUACUACACCUACAUACAGUACAUCAAUGUGUAAGCCGCUGGUUAAUAGUCUGGAAAUUAAAGUGAUACAAUUUUCUUUUUAAUUCUCUUGCCAAGCUUUGCUGUGUGUAUUUUCCCCAGUUCCCUACUCUUUUCCCUAUCUCAUGAAAGCUUUGAAGAUAUCAAUUAUUUGUGCAUCUCGUUUAUUUAUUUCAGUGCCAUGGGGAACAGUGCUGAUCUUGGUGGUGACUAGCCUGUGCAUUGCCCUGGCUGGUGUGUCUGCACUCUGUCUCAUCUGGACAUGUCAGAAUCACCCGGACAUUAUGCCUGCACAUAGUACAAUUGCAACUGUUGACACUGUUGUAACCUACACCAUGAUCACCUCAACAUCCUUGAC